Long non-coding RNA from Arabidopsis thaliana (thale cress), 244 nucleotides. RefSeq annotates it as other RNA. The record is from RefSeq. NCBI's taxonomy places the organism in Eukaryota, Viridiplantae, Streptophyta, Magnoliopsida, Brassicales, Brassicaceae. The transcript has a single exon.
CUUCCUUUUUGUGGAUUCUUGCUGUCUUCCUCCCACAAUUAAUGUAUUUUUCCUAUAUAUUUUGGAUUAAUAUACACUAGAUCAUUUGCAAAGAAAUUUCCAACCAUGAUGAACCAUGCAUAGUAAUUAGUAAAUAGGCGUUAUUUAUAGGGGUAGUACAAUCUCAAGUUCUGAACAAAUGUUCAUUGUUACGUCCAUCUUAAAUAUGUAAAUUAAAAGUAUGAGUUCAAACAUUUCAUACGAA